GACGAACGCUGGCGGCAUGCCUAACACAUGCAAGUCGAACGAGACCUUCGGGCCUAGGGGCGCACGGGUGCGUAAGGCGGGGGAACUAGCACUUAGGUACGGAAUAACUCCCUGAAAGGGGUGCUAAUACAGGUUAAGGUAUUCGGACAAAAGAUUUAUUGCCGUUGGAUGGGCCCGGGUUGGUUUGGCUGGUUGGUAGGGUAUAAGCCUACCAUGGGGACGUUCCAUAGCUGGUCGGUGAGGAGGCUCAGCCACACUUGGACUGCGACACGGCCCAGACGCCUACGCGGGGCAGCAGUGGGGAAUAUUGGACGCGGAGCGCAGGCCUAAUCCAGCCGUGCCGCGGGAGUGAUGAAGGCCGUAGUGUUGUAAAGCUCUUUUAGCCGAGAUGAUAAUGACAGUACCGGGAGAAUAAGCUCCGGCUAACUCCGUG
This 433-nucleotide ribosomal RNA is filed under the name uncultured bacterium. RNAcentral's name for it is "partial 16S ribosomal RNA". It matches the Rfam family "Bacterial small subunit ribosomal RNA", at positions 28 to 507 of the family's 1533-position model. The record is from RNAcentral.